GAGAGAGGCUGUGUCUAUACUCAGAGUUCUGACCUGUGAACACUGGAAUGAUUAGUAGCUUAAU
RNAcentral lists this small nucleolar RNA (64 nucleotides) under Mus caroli (Ryukyu mouse). RNAcentral describes it as "snoRNA (MGP_CAROLIEiJ_G0036060.1)". It matches the Rfam family "Small nucleolar RNA SNORA17", at positions 66 to 129 of the family's 132-position model. Rfam says of the family: snoRNA ACA 17 belongs to the H/ACA family of snoRNAs and is predicted to guide pseudouridylation of the 28S rRNA at positions U4659 and U4598. It shares the same host gene together with ACA43. Lineage: Eukaryota; Metazoa; Chordata; Mammalia; Rodentia; Muridae. The record is from RNAcentral.